Molecule: ribosomal RNA, 775 nt
Filed under: uncultured Neocallimastigales
Lineage: Eukaryota; Fungi; Neocallimastigomycota; Neocallimastigomycetes; Neocallimastigales
Description: partial large subunit ribosomal RNA
Rfam family: Eukaryotic large subunit ribosomal RNA
Source: RNAcentral
GUACACGCUGUGACUAGCAUAUCAAUAAGCGGAGGAAAAGAAACUAACAAGGAUUCCCCUAGUAACGGCGAGUGAAGCGGGAAGAGCUCAAAUUUGAAAUCUUCAAGGGUUUACCUUUACGAAUUGUAGUUUAAAGAAGUGUUUUCUGUUGAGGUUUUGGUAAAAGUUCUUUGGAAUAGGACAUCAUAGAGGGUGAGAAUCCCGUAUUUGACCAUUACUUUUCAGCUGUGUGAUAUACUUUCAAAGAGUCGGAUUGUUUGGGAAUGCAGUCCAAAAUGGGUGGUAAAUUUCAUCUAAAGCUAAAUAUUGGCGAGAGACCGAUAGCGAACAAGUACCGUGAGGGAAAGAUGAAAAGAACUUUGAAAAGAGAGUUAAACAGUACGUGAAAUUGUCAAAAGGGAAGCGUUUGACACCAGUGUUGUUUUUCUGAAAAUCAAUUAAAGAACUGUUUAUGCUAAGCUGUUUAGACUUUAUCAGCUAUCUGUUUAGUUUUGAGCUUUUCUUUAAUGCACUUUUCAGUUAACAAGUCAACAUCAAUUUCUUUUGCUGUAAAAAAGCUUGAGGAAGGUGGCUUGAGAUUCGUCUUAAGUGUUUAUAGCCUCUUGCCUAUGCAGUCGGAGAGAUUGAGGUCUGCAGCGUAGAUCCUUCGGGGCUAAAUGCAUUUGUGCUAAGUUAUAGCAUUUUAUAGACAACUUGUUGACUAUGAUUUGUCUUGUAGCUUACUCGCUUAUGUUAUUUUACCUACGCUUAGGAUGUUGAUAUGCAUGACUGAUAU